ACCCUAGCUCAGUCUUCUCUUCACCUUCGACUUCCAGUUCCAGCUCGGUGACUCAAUCUCCCUCUUCGAGCUCCUCUUCAUCUGAUUCCUCUUCAUCUUCGAGCUCAAUCAUCGACUCCUCUUCAUCGGAUUCAUCUUCAGUGACUUCAGUCGGCUCUUCUCCUUCGAGCUUGAGCACAGUUGAUUCCACUUCUCCUUUGAGAGGCAGAGUCCAAACGAGUUUCCUCGAUCUCACUCGUUGUUCUUCAAUCAACCGGAGAAGGUGACGAAUCCCUUGUUUGAAAAGAGGCCAAAGCAAUUUGGAAUUGGAGGGGCUCUGCCUCCAAAGAGGGACUUGACUUGAUUCGUCAAAUUCCCCAAGACUGUUCAGAUCUAGAGGAAGAGGAGGAUUCUGAAGCAGAGGUUGAAGGUCCCACCUACUCUUAACCAGUUCACAAAGACACUGGAUAAAAACCUUGGUAGAAGCCCAGUCCCUUGGGCUGACGAAGUGUUGCACUCUCGGUAUCCAGCAUCAGAAGCACAGAAGACAUUGUCGGUCUAUCUUCUGCACAUACUUGAAUGCACAAGAGCCCAACUUGUAUGCAUCUCAUAACUUCCAAAAAGCGGGAAAGAAUCAUCCAUCCAUUCAUCUAUCAGCUCAUAUGCCUUCCCUUCAACCCAUUGUUUCCACGCCGACGAUCCUGAUAUGUUAAAUGAAAAUCUCAGAGAAGGGCAUCUGUAAAAUACGAUGAGCUUUUGAUAAGAAGUUUACAUGGCAAAGAAGAUUGAAAUGGUGGUCAGGAUGGUGAAACUCUCGGUUCCUUUGUGCCACUAAUUAUUUCAAGCAAGAGCACUCCGAAGCUGAAGAUAUCCGACUUUAUUGAGAAUAUCCCAUCAAUGGCAUAUUAUGGUGACGUGUAGCCGCUGCAUUUCAAUCGUGAAAGUAUUUUCGACUUUUGGAGACACAAAACAAUUGAUAUGAAUUUUAAGUGUCAAGACGAGAAGGUUUCAUGUAUUUUUUUGAUGGCUUACUAUGUGCCGAUUAUUCUUUUGGUUUUCUCUAGAAAAUCUAUAUUCCAUGUUUCUUUGGCUCAGAUAAAAGAAAACACAAACUGUAAACUGUAAAGUUCCUCAUUUGGCAGUGCAAUAUCUUUCAGAUUUUCCAUUUGCACAAGCA
This is a non-coding RNA of Punica granatum (pomegranate), 1156 nucleotides long. The record is from RefSeq and is a predicted model, not a curated record. Lineage: Eukaryota; Viridiplantae; Streptophyta; Magnoliopsida; Myrtales; Lythraceae.